This 497-nucleotide ribosomal RNA is filed under the name uncultured bacterium. Its description in RNAcentral is "partial 16S ribosomal RNA". It matches the Rfam family "Bacterial small subunit ribosomal RNA", at positions 28 to 507 of the family's 1533-position model. The record is from RNAcentral.
GAUGAACGCUGGCGGCGUGCCUAAUACAUGCAAGUCGAGCGAACGGACGAGAAUCUUGCUUCUCUGAUGUUAGCGGCGGACGGGUGAGUAACACGUGGAUAACCUACCUAUAAGACUGGGAUAACUUCGGGAAACCGGAGCUAAUACCGGAUAAUAUUUUGAACCGCAUGGUUCAAAAGUGAAAGACGGUCUUGCUGUCACUUAUAGAUGGAUCCGCGCUGCAUUAGCUAGUUGGUAAGGUAACGGCUUACCAAGGCAACGAUGCAUAGCCGACAUGAGAGGGGGGACGGACAAGUGGGAACGGAAACGAGGUCAAGACUAGAAGGGGAGGCAGCAGUGGGGAAAGGAAUGAAGUGGGCGAAAGAAAAAUGGAGAAAAGCCGCGAGAGGGAUAAGAGGAAUGGGAUCUGAAAACUAGGUUAUUAGGGAAGAAGACAAGAGCAGGUAACUAUGAACAACUUGACGGUACCUAAGCAGAAAGCACCGGCUAACUACGUG